RNAcentral lists this ribosomal RNA (494 nucleotides) under uncultured bacterium. Its description in RNAcentral is "partial 16S ribosomal RNA". It matches the Rfam family "Bacterial small subunit ribosomal RNA", at positions 28 to 523 of the family's 1533-position model. The record is from RNAcentral.
GAUGAACGCUGGCGGCGUGCUUAACACAUGCAAGUCGAACGGGAAUUACUUUAUUGAAACUUCGGUCGAUUUGAUUUAAUUCUAGUGGCGGACGGGUGAGUAACGCGUGGGUAACCUGCCUUAUACAGGGGGAUAACAGUCAGAAAUGACUGCUAAUACCGCAUAAGCGCACAGAGCUGCAUGGCUCAGUGUGAAAAACUCCGGUGGUAUAAGAUGGACCCGCGUUGGAUUAGCUAGUUGGUGGGGUAACGGCCCACCAAGGCGACGAUCCAUAGCCGGCCUGAGAGGGUGAACGGCCACAUUGGGACUGAGACACGGCCCAGACUCCUACGGGAGGCAGCAGUGGGGAAUAUUGCACAAUGGGGGAAACCCUGAUGCAGCGACGCCGCGUGAAGCAAGAAGUAUCUCGGUAUGUAAACUUCUAUCAGCAGGGAAGAUAAUGACGGUACCUGACUAAGAAGCCCCGGCUAACUACGUGCCAGCCGCCGCCGUAA